CCUACGGGAGGCAGCAGUGAGGAAUAUUGGUCAAUGGCCGGAAGGCUGAACCAGCCAUGCCGCGUGAAGGUCAGUGCCCUAUGGGCGUUAAACUUCUUUUGUGCGGGAGCAAUAAUGGUCACGUGUGGCCAGACGAGAGUACCGUACGAAUAAGCAUCGGCUAACUCCGUGCCAGCAGCCGCGGUAAUACGGGGGAUGCAAGCGUUAUCCGGAAUUAUUGGGUUGAAAGGGUGCGUAGGCUGUGAGGUAAGGCAGCGGGGAAAUGCCCCCGCACAACGGGGUGAAGUGCCAUUGAUACUGCCUUGCUGGAAUGCGGAUGCCGUGGGAGGAAUGUGUGGUGUAGCGGUGAAAUGCAUAGAUAUCACACAGAACACCGAUUGCGAAGGCAUCUCACGAAUCCGCGAUUGACGCUGAUGCACGAAGGCGUGGGUAUCAAACAGGAUUAGAUACCCGAGUAGUC
This 460-nucleotide ribosomal RNA is filed under the name uncultured bacterium. RNAcentral describes it as "partial 16S ribosomal RNA". It matches the Rfam family "Bacterial small subunit ribosomal RNA", at positions 338 to 795 of the family's 1533-position model. The record is from RNAcentral.